This 758-nucleotide small RNA is filed under the name Rhizoctonia sp. Its description in RNAcentral is "eukaryotic LSU rRNA". The stretch from base 227 to 380 matches the Rfam family "5.8S ribosomal RNA". The record is from RNAcentral. Lineage: Eukaryota; Fungi; Basidiomycota; Agaricomycetes; Cantharellales; Ceratobasidiaceae.
AUGAAUUUAAUGUGGAGUUGGUUGUAGCUGGUCCAUUUGGAUUUUUUAAAUAAUUUCCUUUGGACAUGUGCACACCUUCUCUUUCAUCCACACACACCUGUGAACUUGUGAGGCAGAUUUGCUCUUUGGGGACUUUAACUAGAAACCAAUUAGCUGCUGUCUACUUAAUUUACACACACUCUAUUUAUUUUAAAAUGAAUGUAAUUGAUGUAACGCAUCUAAUACUAAGUUUCAACAACGGAUCUCUUGGCUCUCGCAUCGAUGAAGAACGCAGCGAAAUGCGAUAAGUAAUGUGAAUUGCAGAAUUCAGUGAAUCAUCGAAUCUUUGAACGCACCUUGCGCUCCUUGGUAUUCCUUGGAGCAUGCCUGUUUGAGUAUCAUGAAAUCUUCAAAGUCAAUCUUUUGUUAACUCAAUUGGUUGUGCUUUGGUAUUGGAGGUAUAUUGCAGCUUUCACACCCUGCUCCUCUUUGUGCAUUAGCUGGAUCUCGGUGUUAUGCUUGGUUCCACUCGGCGUGAUAAGUUAUCUAUCGCUGAGGACACUAUUAAAAAUGGUGGCCAAGGUAAACACAUGAUUGAACCGCUUCCAACGGUCCAUUGACUUGGACAAUACUCUUUAUGAUUUGAUCUCAAAUCAGGUAGGACUACCCGCUGAACUUAAGCAUAUCAAUAAGCGGAGGAAAAGAAACUAACAAGGAUUCCCCUAGUAACGGCGAGUGAAGCGGGAAGAGCUCAAAUUUAAAAUCUGGCAGCCUUGUGU